Molecule: non-coding RNA, 23 nt
Filed under: Arabidopsis thaliana (thale cress)
Lineage: Eukaryota; Viridiplantae; Streptophyta; Magnoliopsida; Brassicales; Brassicaceae
Source: RNAcentral
GAACAUUGCCUCGCAACUGUACC